AUUGAGUGGGGGGUAACGUAGCGAAAGUUACGCUAAUACCGCAUAUUCUGUGAGCAGGAAAGCAGGGGAUCGCAAGACCUUGCGCUCUUUGAGCGGCCGAUGUCAGAUUAGCUAGUUGGUGAGGUAACGGCUUACCAAGGCGACGAUCUGUAGCGGGUCUGAGAGGAUGAUCCGCCACACUGGAACUGAGACACGGUCCAGACUCCUACGGGAGGCAGCAGUGGGGAAUUUUGGACAAUGGGGGCAACCCUGAUCCAGCCAUGCCGCGUGAGUGAAGAAGGCCUUCGGGUUGUAAAGCUCUUUCGGCCGGGAAGAAAUCGCAUGGGUUAAUACCCUGUGUGGAUGACGGUACCGGCAUAAGAAGCACCGGCUAACUACGUG
This 381-nucleotide ribosomal RNA is filed under the name uncultured bacterium. RNAcentral's name for it is "bacterial SSU rRNA". It matches the Rfam family "Bacterial small subunit ribosomal RNA", at positions 131 to 507 of the family's 1533-position model. The record is from RNAcentral.